GCCUACGGGUGGCAGCAGUUGGGAAUCUUGCACAAUGGGGGAAACCCUGAUGCAGCGACGCCGCGUGGAGGAUGACGGAUUUAGGUCUGUAAACUCCUUUUAUCGGGAAAGACUUAGGACGGUACCCGAUGAAUAAGGACCGGCUAACUACGUGCCAGCAGCCGCGGUAAGACGAAGGGUCCAAGCGUUGUCCGGAUUUACUGGGCGUAAAGAGCGCGUAGGCGGUCUGUUAAGUGUGAAGUGGAAUCUCCAGAGCUCCACUCGGAAACUGCUUCGCAUACUGGCAGACUUGAGGAAUGCAGAGGUAAGUAGAAUUCCUGGUGUAGCGGUGACAUGCAUUGAUAUCAGUAGGAAUACCCAUGGCGAAGGCAGCUUACUGGGCAUUAUCUGACGCUGAGGCGCGAAAGCGUGGGGAGCAAACAGGAUUAGAUACCCCAGUAGUCC
RNAcentral lists this ribosomal RNA (444 nucleotides) under uncultured Fimbriimonadaceae bacterium. Its description in RNAcentral is "bacterial SSU rRNA". It matches the Rfam family "Bacterial small subunit ribosomal RNA", at positions 337 to 796 of the family's 1533-position model. Lineage: Bacteria; Bacillati; Armatimonadota; Fimbriimonadia; Fimbriimonadales; Fimbriimonadaceae. The record is from RNAcentral.